Long non-coding RNA from Drosophila yakuba, 424 nucleotides. RefSeq lists it as uncharacterized. NCBI's taxonomy places the organism in Eukaryota, Metazoa, Arthropoda, Insecta, Diptera, Drosophilidae. The record is from RefSeq and is a predicted model, not a curated record. The transcript has 2 exons.
CUGCUCUGGUACUUCAGGGGUGCUCGAGUCGUUCACUUCGAUUCUUGUCAUCUUGUUGACUUUUUGUUUCGUAAUCCUAAUAAAUUUAAAUGACGCGCAAUGUGUGCACGAAGGUCUCCUCACACGAAUCCUCUGGAAAGGGUACUCGAACAGGGGCGUCAAUGGAACAAGGGGUCUGAGGGUACAUACAUCAUCAUAAAUAUGGUGCAAUUUUAAAGUUUGGCUUUAGAAAUCCAAGUGCUAUUGACUACAGUCCCCUUUAACAGAAGCUUUAUACGCCACCCAUGAAAUAGUUCUCACGUGAAGCCAACAACUAAUUGAAGAGUUUUUUGUUUCAAAUGCAACCCCUUUUCCAAGAGCUCUCGCUAAGCAGGCAGAGCGAACAGAAUAGUGUGAACCCAUUAAAAUUUAAAUACAAAAACAA